Long non-coding RNA from Pistacia vera, 653 nucleotides. RefSeq lists it as uncharacterized. NCBI's taxonomy places the organism in Eukaryota, Viridiplantae, Streptophyta, Magnoliopsida, Sapindales, Anacardiaceae. The record is from RefSeq and is a predicted model, not a curated record. The transcript is spliced from 5 exons.
GGCACUUGAAGACUUGUGUACGGCGAAAGCUCUUUGAAAAGCAACAACAAAGGUUUUUUUGAAGCAACAAAUCCAGUUGAUGCAGAAAGAGCAAAAACAAGUGGAGAUUCAGCUUCCAAUCGAGUGAAGCUUACAAAGCUUGAAUGCAUUUUUUGGCCAGAAUCCUCAGGUUGGUUUUUGUAAGGAUCUAUUGGUUGUUUGAGAGGGUGGAGAAGAGAUAUGUUUCUUAAUACAAAGCUACAGGUAUUUGAAUUAGGGGUGUUUAUGGUUGCUGCAGGUUUUUUGAAUAUGGAGUUCUAAACUUUGCUGUUCAAAGGGUAAAAGUCUAGUGAAAGGUAAAAUGAGUAGGUGACCUGCGACUUGGCUGCUCAACUGCUGUAAAUUUGGUGUUUCUUUGCCAAAUGCCAACAGGUUGUAUCAUGGCUGGUGGUGGUGGAUAUUUUGUUUUAUGUUAGUUUGGACUUUGGAAGUAGUUGGCUUGGCUAUUGUAUUAUGCAUGUGAAUGAGAUAAAUCCAAAGUCCCAAGUCCCAACCUUUAAAUGUAAUUAUGUAUUAUGUAAAAAUGUAUUGGCUCCUUAUAAUUAUGUAUUAUGUAAAUAUGCACUGGCUCCUUAAUCUUGAAAAUAUUAAUCAAGAAGCUUCUCCUCUGGAUU